This 157-nucleotide unclassified non-coding RNA is filed under the name soil metagenome. RNAcentral describes it as "partial internal transcribed spacer 1". The record is from RNAcentral.
GUGAUUAAAUCGAGCGUGUCUUCAUUGACCGCUCACCCUUCUCACCAUCUACCACAUACACCUGUGCACUGUUUAGCCUGAGCCGGUUUUCCGGUCCAGGUUAUCAUUUCAUACAAAACUCUAGUCUUAUGAAUGUAAACGUUUUAAUAACAUAAUA